This 29-nucleotide non-coding RNA is filed under the name Homo sapiens (human). Lineage: Eukaryota; Metazoa; Chordata; Mammalia; Primates; Hominidae. The record is from RNAcentral.
UCCUGAGAUGGCAAGCAGGAGGUCUGGAU